This 468-nucleotide ribosomal RNA is filed under the name uncultured bacterium. RNAcentral's name for it is "partial 16S ribosomal RNA". It matches the Rfam family "Bacterial small subunit ribosomal RNA", at positions 28 to 507 of the family's 1533-position model. The record is from RNAcentral.
GACGAACGCUGGCGGCGUGCUUAACACAUGCAAGUCGAACGGUGAAGCUCCAGCUUGCUGGAGUGGAUCAGUGGCGAACGGGUGAGUAACACGUGAGCAACCUGCCCCUGACUCUGGAAUAAGCGCUGGAAACGGCGUCUAAUACUGGAUACGAGAAGGGUCCGCAUGGGCACCUUCUGGAAAGUUUUUCGGUUGGGGAUGGGCUCGCGGCCUAUCAGCUUGUUGGUGAGGUAAUGGCUCACCAAGGCGACGACGGGUAGCCGGCCUGAGAGGGCGACCGGCCACACUGGGACUGAGAAACGGCCCAGACUCCUACGGGAGGCAGCAGUGGGGAAUAUUGCACAAUGGGCGAAAGCCUGAUGCAGCGACGCCGCGUGAGGGAUGACGGCCUUCGGGUUGUAAACCUCUUUCAGCAGGGAAGAAGCGAAAGUGACGGUACCUGCAGAAGAAGCACCGGCUAACUACGUG